CAUGUCUUUUUGAUUAUAAUAUAAAGUCUGACCUGCCCUAUGAAUUAAAUUUUAAAUGGCCGCGGUAUUUUGACCGUGCAAAGGUAGCAUAAUAAUUAGUUUUUUGAUUGAGAACUGGUAUGAAAGGUUUGACGAGGAAAAAACUGUCUCAGUUUAAUUUAAAUUAGAAUUUUAUUUUUGAGUUAAAAAGCUUAAAUAAUUUUAAAAGACGAGAAGACCCUAUAGAAUUUUAUAUUAAUAUUUAUAUUUAAAAGUUUAAGUAUUAUAGAUUUAAAUAUAAAUAUUAAUAUUUAGUUGGGGCAACUAAAAAAUUUAAUUAACUUUUUUUAUAUUAAAACAUUGAUAUAUGAAUAAAUGAUCCAUAUUUUUAUGAUUAUAAGAUUAAAUUACCUUAGGGAUAACAGCGUAAUUUUUUUUUAGAGUUCAUAUCGAAAAGAAAGUUUGCGACC
This 449-nucleotide ribosomal RNA is filed under the name Scarabaeus brittoni. RNAcentral describes it as "partial 16S ribosomal RNA". The record is from RNAcentral. Lineage: Eukaryota; Metazoa; Arthropoda; Insecta; Coleoptera; Scarabaeidae.